This is a long non-coding RNA of Dreissena polymorpha, 835 nucleotides long. RefSeq lists it as uncharacterized. The record is from RefSeq and is a predicted model, not a curated record. Lineage: Eukaryota; Metazoa; Mollusca; Bivalvia; Myida; Dreissenidae. The transcript is spliced from 2 exons.
UGUCAUUGAUUAUUCUAUUUAUUGAGUUUAACAGUACACAAGUUAGAAAUGUAUCAAACACGUUUACUAAAACAAGAAUUUUGCAAUCCACUUAGUACAUAGCGGACACACACUUUUCAUCAGGCAAAACAAUGACAGGAUACAAUCUUAAUACACAGCAAUUUAACAUUUGAAAAUGCAGUCAAAAUAUUAAUUAUGUUCAUCACAAAAGAACUAAAAAAAACUUCAUCCAAUAUGAUAAGCAAUUAAUUUUAAAAUAACUUUUAUAAUACUGGCAUAUACCAUAGAAGUUCUCUACUACAUAAUGAAACUUAAAAGAUGUUAAGCAAGAGUUCAAAUACAAACUUCUUAGAAAAUCCCAAUUAUGCUACACAUACACAUAAAUCUGCAACAACAAGAGGAAAAAGGCCUUCUAUAAGCUGUGAACAAAAUGGCACGUCCAGUCAAAUGUGAAACUUCAAGUUAGCACUAGAAUUUCAACACCAAGAUACUUAAAUAUGUGAAUCAUACAAGAGAUACUACCUGGUACAAAGAUGUGGGCUCAGAAAUGUACUUUUUGGAGUUCUCACAAUUCGUUAAUACCGACCAUGUUAGGUAAAGUCACAUAAAUGCGAAGGAAAAGGUACAUGUAAAUGAUGCAUUACUGCAACGUUUGGCAACCCUUUCAACAUGUUUAAAAACUUAAUGCUUUUACUGACUUCAUUAAAAUGGGUCACAGUGUUGACUACAGCAUUUUCUUGUUAGCCAAUCUGAUAUUAUCUUUGCCAAUUUGAAGCAUCACAUUUUAUUGGUUCAAACAAAAUGCAUGCAUUAGAAAUUUAAAAUUCAUUAACAA